This 73-nucleotide transfer RNA is filed under the name Actinomycetota bacterium. RNAcentral describes it as "Actinobacteria bacterium tRNA-Thr". It matches the Rfam family "tRNA". Rfam says of the family: Transfer RNA (tRNA) molecules are approximately 80 nucleotides in length. Their secondary structure includes four short double-helical elements and three loops (D, anti-codon, and T loops). Further hydrogen bonds mediate the characteristic L-shaped molecular structure. tRNAs have two regions of fundamental functional importance: the anti-codon, which is responsible for specific mRNA codon recognition, and the 3' end, to which the tRNAs corresponding amino acid is attached (by aminoacyl-tRNA synthetases). tRNAs cope with the degeneracy of the genetic code in two manners: having more than one tRNA (with a specific anti-codon) for a particular amino acid; and 'wobble' base-pairing, i.e. permitting non-standard base-pairing at the 3rd anti-codon position. The record is from RNAcentral. Lineage: Bacteria; Bacillati; Actinomycetota.
GCCGGAGUAGCUCAGCUGGUAGAGCAACUGCCUUGUAAGCAGUAGGCCGUCGGUUCGAGUCCGACCUCCGGCU